CCUACGGGGUGCAGCAGUGGGGAAUAUUGGACAAUGGGCGAAAGCCUGAUCCAGCCAUGCCGCGUGUGUGAAGAAGGCCUUCGGGUUGUAAAGCACUUUCAGUGGGGAAGAAAGCCUUGGGGCUAAUACCCUCGAGGAAGGACAUCACCCACAGAAGAAGCACCGGCUAACUCCGUGCCAGCAGCCGCGGUAAUACGGAGGGUGCGAGCGUUAAUCGGAAUUACUGGGCGUAAAGCGCGCGUAGGCGGUCUGAUAAGCCGGUUGUGAAAGCCCCGGGCUCAACCUGGGAACGGCAUCCGGAACUGUCAGGCUAAAGUGCAGGAGAGGAAGGUAGAAUUCCCGGUGUAGCGGUGAAAUGCGUAGAGAUCGGGAGGAAUACCAGUGGCGAAGGCGGCCUUCUGGACUGACACUGACGCUGAGGUGCGAAAGCGUGGGUAGCAAACAGGAUUAGAUACCCUGGUAGUC
RNAcentral lists this ribosomal RNA (465 nucleotides) under Vreelandella stevensii. RNAcentral describes it as "partial 16S ribosomal RNA". It matches the Rfam family "Bacterial small subunit ribosomal RNA", at positions 338 to 795 of the family's 1533-position model. The record is from RNAcentral. Lineage: Bacteria; Pseudomonadati; Pseudomonadota; Gammaproteobacteria; Oceanospirillales; Halomonadaceae.